GAACACGUGUUCUCGUACGAUCACCGAAAUUAAGCAACCUCGAGUCUAGUCAGUACCCAGAUGGGUGACCGGUUGGGAAUACCAGGUGCUGUAAG
Non-coding RNA from Acanthosepion pharaonis, 95 nucleotides. The record is from the annotation of a GenBank genome assembly. Lineage: Eukaryota; Metazoa; Mollusca; Cephalopoda; Sepiida; Sepiidae.